AGUGCUGCGCUUCGCGGCAGAGGCGUCUGCGGUGACAGCUCAGUCAGUUGAGCUCUGUGUGCCAGGCGCUCGCGAGGGGGUAGCUCUUCUAGUAGUGCUCGGCGUCAGACAUGGCGGAGGCGAUGGAUUUGGGCAAAGACCCCAACGGGCCCACCCAUUCCUCGACUCUGUUCGUGAGGGACGACGGCAGCUCCAUGUCCUUCUACGUGCGGCCCAGCCCGGCCAAGCGUCGGCUGUCGACGCUCAUCCUGCACGGCGGCGGCACCGUGUGCCGAGUGCAGGAGCCCGGGGCCGUGCUGCUGGCCCAGCCCGGGGAGGCGCUGGCCGAGGCCUCGGGUGAUUUCAUCUCCACGCAGUACAUCCUGGACUGCGUGGAGCGCAACGAGAGGCUGGAGCUGGAGGCCUAUCGGCUGGGCCCCGCCUCGGCGGCGGACACCGGCUCGGAAGCAAAGCCCGGGGCCCUGGCCGAGGGCGCCGCGGAGCCGGAGCCGCAGCGGCACGCCGGGCGGAUCGCCUUCACGGAUGCGGACGACGUAGCCAUCCUUACCUACGUGAAGGAAAAUGCCCGCUCGCCCAGCUCCGUCACCGGUAACGCCUUGUGGAAAGCGAUGGAGAAGAGCUCGCUCACGCAGCACUCGUGGCAGUCCCUGAAGGACCGCUACCUCAAGCACCUGCGGGGCCAGGAGCAUAAGUACCUGCUGGGGGACGCGCCGGUGAGCCCCUCCUCCCAGAAGCUCAAGCGGAAGGCGGAGGAGGACCCGGAGGCCGCGGAUAGCGGGGGUGAGGAGGCUGAGCGCGGGGCCUCGCGGAUAUCUGCGCGGGUGGGGUUGGGAUCUUUCUCCUGGCUGCCUGGCGUCCAUCUUGGCAUCUUCGGUAGCAGCGCUUGGCCCCGCCCCCUGUUGACAUCCGGAACCACAGAAUAAGAGAACUCCAGAUUUGCCUGAAGAAGAGUAUGUGAAGGAAGAAAUCCAGGAGAAUGAAGAAGCAGUCAAAAAGAUGCUUGUGGAAGCCACCCGGGAGUUUGAGGAGGUUGUGGUGGAUGAGAGCCCUCCUGAUUUUGAAAUACAUAUAACUAUGUGUGAUGAUGAUCCACCCACACCUGAGGAAGACUCAGAAACACAGCCUGAUGAGGAGGAAGAAGAAGAAGAAGAAAAAGUUUCUCAACCAGAGGUGGGAGCUGCCAUUAAGAUCAUUCGGCAGUUAAUGGAGAAGUUUAACUUGGAUCUAUCAACAGUUACACAGGCCUUCCUAAAAAAUAGUGGUGAGCUGGAGGCUACUUCCGCCUUCUUAGCGUCUGGUCAGAGAGCUGAUGGAUAUCCCAUUUGGUCCCGACAAGAUGACAUAGAUUUGCAAAAAGAUGAUGAGGAUACCAGAGAGGCAUUGGUCAAAAAAUUUGGUGCUCAGAAUGUAGCUCGGAGGAUUGAAUUUCGAAAGAAAUAAUUGGCAAGAUAAUGAGAAAAGAAAAAAGUCAUGGUAGGUGAGGUGGUUAAAAAAAAUUGUGACCAAUGAACUUUAGAGAGUUCUUGCAUUGGAACUGGCACUUAUUUUCUGACCAUCGCUGCUGUUGCUCUGUGAGUCCUAGAUUUUUGUAGCCAAGCAGAGUUGUAGAGGGGGAUAAAAAGAAAAGAAAUUGGAUGUAUUUACAGCUGUCCUUGAACAAGUAUCAAUGUGUUUAUGAAAGGAAGAUCUAAAUCAGACAGGAGUUGGUCUACAUAGUAGUAAUCCAUUGUUGGAAUGGAACCCUUGCUAUAGUAGUGACAAAGUGAAAGGAAAUUUAGGAGGCAUAGGCCAUUUCAGGCAGCAUAAGUAAUCUCCUGUCCUUUGGCAGAAGCUCCUUUAGAUUGGGAUAGAUUCCAAAUAAAGAAUCUAGAAAUAGGAGAAGAUUUAAUUAUGAGGCCUUGAACACGGAUUAUCCCCAAACCCUUGUCAUUUCCCCCAGUGAGCUCUGAUUUCUAGACUGCUUUGAAAAUGCUGUAUUCAUUUUGCUAACUUAGUAUUUGGGUACCCUGCUCUUUGGCUGUUCUUUUUUUGGAGCCCUUCUCAGUCAAGUCUGCCGGAUGUCUUUCUUUACCUACCCCUCAGUUUUCCUUAAAACGCGCACACAACUCUAGAGAGUGUUAAGAAUAAUGUUACUUGGUUAAUGUGUUAUUUAUUGAGUAUUGUUUGUGCUAAGCAUUGUGUUAGAUUUAAAAAAUUAGUGGAUUGACUCCACUUUGUUGUGUUGUUUUCAUUGUUGAAAAUAAAUAUAACUUUGUAUUCGA
RNA transcript from Homo sapiens (human), 2261 nucleotides. It is a transcript of the gene named TERF2 interacting protein, with no coding region annotated. The record is from RefSeq and is marked reviewed. The transcript is spliced from 3 exons. Lineage: Eukaryota; Metazoa; Chordata; Mammalia; Primates; Hominidae.